AAAUCAUGUGAAAAAAUAUUGGAAAUUUAUAUAUAAUUAUUUUAAAUUAAGAGAUUAGCCAUCAGAUCGUAAAGUUCUUGGACCACAAUAUCCCUUCAGAAGACGUCGUUAACCUCCUGUUUCGGUUUAUCGUCGCGGAAGGCAUAGAAGGAAUCAGCUUUGAUCCUGGGCAGGUUCCACGCGAUUCCUGUCGGAGCCUUGGGCGAUGAAGCACACCGUGGCUGCACCGUCAGAAAAUUUCAUGGGACUAGCACGAUAGCAGAGAUUGCGUAAUAGAGAUCACUUGGCAGAGGAUCUGAUCAAAGUUGAAUCUCAUUGGCUUUCGUUUCCGUGGUACCGACGAGGGAACUGCCUUGUCUCUGCUAUGGAAAUCCUAGAUGGAAGAGAUAAGAGACACAGAAUAAAGAUACAAGUUUUUGAGGAAUAAUGAUAUUGACCGCGAGUAGAUUGUAUUAAGAUUUCUGAACUCUCUUAAGCGUGAUAAUUGGAUAAUUUUGAUAAUAAUGAUUAUAUGGAUCGAAUCUAACGUGUGAAAGCUGAAGAAAUAAAUUCUCAAAAUUGUUAACGAAAGGAGUUACGUGGGAAAGAAGCAGAAGUGUUCAGAUUUCCAGAAGAGGACUAGAUUUUAUAAAAGACGUUACAUAGAUCAAGGAUAUUUUUCAUCAACCACCAGUUGCCCGUUUGUGUUCUCUCGUUCCUCGAUUAUACAUUUUGCUACAUGACUUAAAACCUGGUCAGAGGUUGUUCCAGUUACGCUUUAAUAAUGGUAAUAUUUCCUGAGCAUCGUGUGCCGUGUCAUGUAUUAUGAGAAGCCAAGAUUUCGCGUCAAAACAUAUAUCUUAAAAAUUAAUUAAAAUGGCGGAUACGAUCACGGAUUGAAUCAUUUAAGAAUAUUAUUGGAGAAGAGGAAAAUGAACAAUAAAAAAGGAAAAUUUCGAGAUCUAUUUGGGAAGAAACGUGAAAUUUCAUGCGCAAUUUCAUACGCGAAAGAAAACAGAGUAAACAGAAAAUCGUAUUACCAAGUAAAAUGAUUUUGAAACGGAAUAACGUUCUCCAUUGAGAUGCGGAAAUACCGUACAAAUAACCGAGAUGUUUGCAUAGGAUGGGGACACCGGGCGAAACUCAUCUUUUCAGAUGUUUCCCAGUACACCGAUAGUCGUGGUCGAGAGGAAUGAAUUAAAAAAGAAACCAUAGAGACAGGCUGAGAGAGUGAAAGAGACGAGGAAAGGAAAGAAAAAGAACCUGUGGGAAGAAGACAACAAACGUCUAUUCAUAUCUUCGAGCAAUGAAUUGAGUUUGAGUUGCGCAACAUAAAGAUUGCAAUAAAAUAACGAAGAUUUUAAUUGUUUCCUUAAUUUAAAGUGUCACUGGCAAUAUAAUUACCGUGCUAAAUUUAAUUUCAUAAUAUAAAUAUUAUCUAUAUAUA
Long non-coding RNA from Apis dorsata (giant honeybee), 1426 nucleotides. RefSeq lists it as uncharacterized. The record is from RefSeq and is a predicted model, not a curated record. The transcript has 3 exons. Lineage: Eukaryota; Metazoa; Arthropoda; Insecta; Hymenoptera; Apidae.